CUUUGGGAUAACCCUCGGAAACGGGGGCUAAUACCGGAUAUGACUGCCGCCCGCAUGGGUGGUGGUGGAAAGAUUUUUCGGCUGAGGUUGGACUCGCGGCCUAUCAGCUUGUUGGUGGGGUGAUGGCCUACCAAGGCGACGACGGGUAGCCGGCCUGAGAGGGCGACCGGCCACACUGGGACUGAGACACGGCCCAGACUCCUACGGGAGGCAGCAGUGGGGAAUAUUGCACAAUGGGCGGAAGCCUGAUGCAGCGACGCCGCGUGAGGGAUGAAGGCCCUCGGGUUGUAAACCUCUUUCAGCAGGGACGAAGCGUAAGUGACGGUACCUGCAGAAGAAGCGCCGGCCAACUACGUGCCAGCAGCCGCGGUAAGACGUAGGGCGCGAGCGUUGUCCGGAUUUAUUGGGCGUAAAGAGCUCGUAGGCGGCUUGUUGCGUCGACCGUGAAAACCCGGGGCCCAACUUCGGGCUUGCGGUCGAUACGGGCGGGCUAGAGUUCGGUAGGGGAGACUGGAAUUCCUGGUGUAGCGGUGAAAUGCGCAGAUAUCAGGAGGAACACCGGUGGCGAAGGCGGGUCUCUGGGCCGAUACUGACGCUGGGGAGCGAAAGCGUGGGGAGCGAACAGGAUUAGAUACCCUGGUAGUCCACGCUGUAAACGUUGGGCGC
This 666-nucleotide ribosomal RNA is filed under the name uncultured Micromonosporaceae bacterium. RNAcentral's name for it is "bacterial SSU rRNA". It matches the Rfam family "Bacterial small subunit ribosomal RNA", at positions 136 to 816 of the family's 1533-position model. Lineage: Bacteria; Bacillati; Actinomycetota; Actinomycetes; Micromonosporales; Micromonosporaceae. The record is from RNAcentral.